This 274-nucleotide ribosomal RNA is filed under the name uncultured bacterium. RNAcentral's name for it is "partial 16S ribosomal RNA". It matches the Rfam family "Bacterial small subunit ribosomal RNA", at positions 523 to 796 of the family's 1533-position model. The record is from RNAcentral.
AUACGGAGGGGGUUAGCGUUGUUCGGAAUUACUGGGCGUAAAGCGCACGUAGGCGGACUGGAAAGUUGGGGGUGAAAUCCCGGGGCUCAACCCCGGAACUGCCUCCAAAACUUCCAAUCUAGAGAUCGAGAGAGGUAAGUGGAAUUCCUAGUGUAGAGGUGAAAUUCGUAGAUAUUAGGAGGAACACCAGUGGCGAAGGCGGCUUACUGGCUCGAUACUGACGCUGAGGUGCGAAAGCGUGGGGAGCAAACAGAAUUAGAUACCCUAGUAGUCC